RNAcentral lists this microRNA precursor (182 nucleotides) under Picea abies (Norway spruce). RNAcentral describes it as "miR3701d stem-loop (pab-MIR3701d)". The record is from miRBase by way of RNAcentral. Lineage: Eukaryota; Viridiplantae; Streptophyta; Pinopsida; Pinales; Pinaceae.
AGACGAAGGGUAGGAGUUGUUUGGUAGAAGAGUUUUCUCUGUUGCAGGAUAUGGGGGGUUUUCCAAAAUAUUUUCCAUCAAAUCAAAGGGCUACAGUGGCUUUAUUGCAAUUUGUUUGGCAAUAUCCUCUAUAUUCUUCUACCCUAAAAAUUCUUCUCUUAAACAAUGCCCACCCUUCAUCU